GCUGGGCGUGAUGGUUCAUGCCUGUAGUCCCAGCUACUUGGGAGGCUGAGGCAGGAGAAUUGCUUGAACCUGGGAGGCGGAGGUUGCAGUGAGCUGAGAUCAUGCCACUGCACUCCAGCCUGGGUGAAAAAGCGAGACUCUGUCUCAA
RNAcentral lists this non-coding RNA (148 nucleotides) under Pan troglodytes (chimpanzee). The record is from Rfam by way of RNAcentral. Lineage: Eukaryota; Metazoa; Chordata; Mammalia; Primates; Hominidae.